AUUGCAACUGAUGAGUUGAUCCUGUCCCUUCCAAACUUAACAAACAAGUUUGCAUCUUUUAGAUUGGUUAUACCGAAGUGGUGUGAAAUAAUACAGUUCCAAAGAUCCCUAAGGCUAGUAUUUGGUUCCUAUCCAAACUUGUAUUCAGAUUCUUGGGUUUCUACUUCGGCAAACCCUAAACACCUUUUAUCUCAGCCCUUCAAAGUCAUUCUUUUCACUGAAUUUCCUAAUUUGAUAUAUCUUAAAUAUCCUGGCUACCUCUUCUAAGACUUCAUCUAGUCUUUGAUAAAAGUAUACCUUAUAUAUAGGUUUCGAGAAUACUGUCAAUAAAUGGUACUAUUCUAGGGUAGGUAACCAUACCAAGGUCUUCAAAGGAGAAGCAACAGUAUAAAGGGUCCUAAAAAUGGAUUAGGGCUUUAAUGAUUAGUUUUUGGAUAGGUCUGAUCCGUAAACGAAGAGGAGCAAAGGAAUGGAGAGAAAUUAAAGAUUGGCACCAUUCAUCCAGACCUUGGAAUAGGAGGAGCUGAAAGGUUAAUAGUUGAUGCUGCUGUUGAACUUGCAUCCCUUGGCCACAAUGUUCAUGUUCUUACAGCUCAUCAUGAUAAAAACCGAUGCCUCGAAGAAACUGUGGCUGCUCACCGGGUCUCUGUUGUCAUCCCACUGUGGAAACUUAAAAAAUCAAUGAAGGUGGUUUUUUACUGUCAUUUUCUGGAUUUGUUGCUGGCUCAACAUACAACUGUUCUCUGGAGGUUAUAUAGGAAACCCAUUGAUUUCAUAGAAGAAAUUACAACUGGCUGAAUUUUCUCUCGAUAAAUCGCUUUGAAAGGAAAAAGAACAUAGAGUUGACAGUUUCUGCCUUUGCCAGACUUCAUACACUUGCGGAACAUGCCCUUCAAAGUCAAAGUCUAACUGAAGCUACUUUGACCAUUG
Molecule: RNA transcript, 930 nt
Organism: Populus nigra (black poplar)
Lineage: Eukaryota; Viridiplantae; Streptophyta; Magnoliopsida; Malpighiales; Salicaceae
Exons: 6
Source: RefSeq, a predicted model, not a curated record